UCAUACAUUUUUAACCCCACCUUUAUCCCCAUAGAGGGCAUAUUAUUCAUGUGCAGUGAUAGAUGAAAAGUAGGUUAACACUGAAUGAGUAUUCUUGUGUUUAUUGUUAUAUGUGUAUCGUUAGUCUUUUUAAGUUAGUUGGUGGAAU
Molecule: long non-coding RNA, 148 nt
Organism: Sander lucioperca (pikeperch)
Lineage: Eukaryota; Metazoa; Chordata; Actinopteri; Perciformes; Percidae
Exons: 3
Source: RefSeq, a predicted model, not a curated record